AGCAGCCGCGGUAAUUCCAGCUCCAAUAGCGUAUAUUAAAGUUGUUGCAGUUAAAAAGCUCGUAGUUGAAUUUCGGGACCAUCAUGUCGGUCGUGCCUCGGUACGUACUGGCAUUGUUGGUUUCUCCCUUCUGACGAACCAUGAUGUCAUUUAUUUGGUGUUGUGGGAAAUCAGGACUGUUACUUUGAAAAAUUAGAGUGUUUAAAGCAGGCUCACGCUUGAAUACAUUAGCAUGGAAUAAUGAAAUAGGACGUUUGAUUCUAUUUUGUUGGUUUCUAGGAUCGACGUAAUGAUUAAUAGGGAUAGUUGGGGGCAUUAGUAUUCAAUUGUCAGAGGUGAAAUUCUUGGAUUUAUUGAAGACUAACUACUGCGAAAGCAUUUGCCAAGGAUGUUUUCAUUAAUCAAGAACGAAAGUUAGGGGAUCGAAGACGAUCAGAUACCGUCGUAGUCUUAACCAUAAACUAUGCCGACUAGGGAUCGGAUGAUGUUAAUUU
Molecule: ribosomal RNA, 494 nt
Filed under: uncultured Glomus
Lineage: Eukaryota; Fungi; Glomeromycota; Glomeromycetes; Glomerales; Glomeraceae
Description: SSU rRNA
Rfam family: Eukaryotic small subunit ribosomal RNA
Source: RNAcentral